ACCCCGUGGGAAGAGACGUCUGAUAAUGCCUUCUGAUUGGCUGUAACCCCGUGGGAGGAGACGUCUGAUAAUGCCUUCUGAUUGGCUGUAACCCCGUGGGAAGAGACGUCUGAUAAUGCCUUCUGAUUGGCUGUAACCCCGUGGGAAGAGACGUCUGAUAAUGCCUUCUGAUUGGCUGUAACCCCGUGGGAAGAGACGUCUGAUAAUGCCUUCUGAUUGGCUGUAACCCUGUGGGAAGAGACGUCUGAUAAUGCCUUCUGAUUGGCUGUAACCCCGUGGGAAGAGACGUCUGAUAAUGCCUUCUGAUUGGCUGUAACCCCGUGGGAGGAGACGUCUGAUAAUGCCUUCUGAUUGGCUGUAACCCCGUGGGAGGAGACGUCUGAUAAUGUGAUCAUGGACUUCUGUGGAGUCGAGACACCGGAGGAUGUCACCAUGGAUACCACCUGAUGUCGCCAUGGAUACCACCUGAUGUCACCAUGGAUACCACCAGAUGUCGCCAUGGAUACCACCUGAUGUCACCAUGGAUACCACCAGAUGUCGCCAUGGAUACCACCUGAUGUCGCCAUGGAUACCACCAGAUGUCGCCAUGGAUACCACCUGAUGUCGCCAUGGAUACCACCAGAUGUCGCCAUGGAUACCACCUGAUGUCGCCAUGGAUACCACCAGAUGUCGCCAUGGAUACCACCUGAUGUCGCCAUGGAUACCACCAGAUGUCGCCAUGGAUACCACCUGAUGUCGCCAUGGAUACCACCAGAUGUCGCCAUGGAAACCACUCACUGGCCAUGCCAGCCAAUCAACCGCGAGGAAUCUAGACGGUGACCUCAGAGCCAGGUCGUCCAACUGAGCCUUUUUUGCUGGAGGGUGUGAGUGAGAGUUAAAGGAGUAAGAAGAGUGUGUGUGUGAGAGUUAAAGGAGUAAGAAGAGUGUGUGUGUGUGUGUGAGAGUUAAAGGAGUAAGAAGAGUGUGUGUGUGUGUGUGUGAGAGUUAAAGGAGUAAGAAGAGUGUGUGUGUGUGAGAGUUAAAGGAGUAAGAAGAGUGUGUGUGUGAGAGUUAAAGGAGUAAGAAGAGUGUGUGUGUGAGAGUUAAAGGAGUAAGAAGAGUGUGUGUGAGUGUGAGAGUUAAAGGAGUAAGAAGAGUGUGUGUGUGUGUGAGAGUUAAAGGAGUAAGAAGAGUGUGUGUGUGUGUGAGAGUUAAAGGAGUAAGAAGAGUGUGUGUGUGUGUGAGAGUUAAAGGAGUAAGAAGAGUGUGUGUGUGUGUGAGAGUUAAAGGAGUAAGAAGAGUGUGUGUGUGAGAGUUAAAGGAGUAAGAAGAGUGUGUGUGAGUGAGAGUUAAAGGAGUAAGAAGAGUGUGUGUGUGAGAGUUAAAGGAGUAAGAAGAGUGUGUGUGUGAGAGUUAAAGGAGUAAGAAGAGUGUGUGUGUGAGAGUUAAAGGAGUAAGAAGAGUGUGUGUGUGAGAGUUAAAGGAGUAAGAAGAGUGUGUGUGUGUGUGUGAGAGUUAAAGGAGUAAGAAGAGUGUGUGUGUGUGAGAGUUAAAGGAGUAAGAAGAGUGUGUGUGUGAGAGUUAAAGGAGUAAGAAGAGUGUGUGUGUGAGAGUUAAAGGAGUAAGAAGAGUGUGUGUGAGUGUGAGAGUUAAAGGAGUAAGAAGAGUGUGUGUGUGUGUGAGAGUUAAAGGAGUAAGAAGAGUGUGUGUGUGUGUGAGAGUUAAAGGAGUAAGAAGAGUGUGUGUGUGUGUGAGAGUUAAAGGAGUAAGAAGAGUGUGUGUGUGUGUGAGAGUUAAAGGAGUAAGAAGAGUGUGUGUGUGUGUGAGAGUUAAAGGAGUAAGAAGAGUGUGUGUGUGUGUGAGAGUUAAAGGAGUAAGAAGAGUGUGUGUGUGUGAGAGUUAAAGGAGUAAGAAGAGUGUGUGUGUGAGAGUUAAAGGAGUAAGAAGAGUGUGUGUGUGUGUGAGAGUUAAAGGAGUAAGAAGAGUGUGUGUGUGUGUGUGUGUGUGUGAGAGUUAAAGGAGUAAGAAGAGUGUGUGUGUGUGUGUGUGUGUGUGAGAGUUAAAGGAGUAAGAAGAGUGUGUGUGUGUGUGUGUGUGUGUGAGAGUUAAAGGAGUAAGAAGAGUGUGUGUGUGAGAGUUAAAGGAGUAAGAAGAGUGUGUGUGUGUGUGUGAGUUAAAGGAGUAAGAAGAGUGUGUGUGUGUGUGUGUGAGAGUUAAAGGAGUAAGAAGAGUGUGUGUGUGUGUGUGAGUUAAAGGAGUAAGAAGAGUGUGUGUGUGUGUGUGUGAGAGUUAAAGGAGUAAGAAGAGUGUGUGUGUGAGAGUUAAAGGAGUAAGAAGAGUGUGUGUGUGUGUGAGUUAAAGGAGUAAGAAGAGUGUGUGUGUGUGUGAGAGUUAAAGGAGUAAGAAGAGUGUGUGUGUGUGAGAGUUAAAGGAGUAAGAAGAGUGUGUGUGUGUGAGAGUUAAAGGAGUAAGAAGAGUGUGUGUGUGUGUGUGAGUUAAAGGAGUAAGAAGAGUGUGUGUGUGUGUGAGAGUUAAAGGAGUAAGAAGAGUGUGUGUGUGUGAGAGUUAAAGGAGUAAGAAGAGUGUGUGUGUGUGAGAGUUAAAGGAGUAAGAAGAGUGUGUGUGUGUGUGAGAGUUAAAGGAGUAAGAAGAGUGUGUGUGUGAGAGUUAAAGGAGUAAGAAGAGUGUGUGUGUGUGUGAGUUAAAGGAGUAAGAAGAGUGUGUGUGUGUGAGAGUUAAAGGAGUAAGAAGAGUGUGUGUGUGUGAGAGUUAAAGGAGUAAGAAGUGUGUGUGUGUGUGAGAGUUAAAGGAGUAAGAAGAGUGUGUGUGUGUGUGUGUGAGAGUUAAAGGAGUAAGAAGAGUGUGUGUGUGUGUGUGUGAGAGUUAAAGGAGUAAGAAGAGUGUGUGUGUGUGUGUGUUAAAGGAGUAAGAAGAGUGUGUGUGUGUGAGAGUUAAAGGAGUAAGAAGAGUGUGUGUGUGUGAGAGUUAAAGGAGUAAGAAGAGUGUGUGUGUGUGUGUGAGAGUAGCAGAGAUCUUUAUGUGUCAGUCGAUGUGUAACUAAGAGCAGGAAGGAUGACCAUGUGUACGUGUGUGUAUGUGUGUAUAUGUGUGUAUAUGUGUGUAGGAUGUGUGUGUGUGUAUGUGUGUGUGUAUAUAUGUGUAGGAUGUGUAGGAUGUGUGUGUGUGUAUGUGUGUGUGUAUAUGUGUGUAGGAUGUGUAGGAUGUGUGUGUGUGUAUGUGUGUAUGUGUGUGUGUAUAUGUGUGUAGGAUGUGUAGGAUGUGUGUAUGUGUGUGUGUAUAUGUGUGUAGGAUCAGUGGGGAUGUGUGUAUAUAUGUGUGUUUGUGUGUAGGAUCAGUGGGGAUGUGUGUGUAUAUGUGUGUAGGAUGUGUUGGAUGUGUAGGAUGUGUGUGUGUAUAUGUGUAGGAUCAGUGGGGAUGUGUGUGUGUAGGAUGUAUAGGAUGUGUGUGAUAUAGGUGUGUAAACAUGAAGUGUGUGUGAUAUAGAUGUGUAAACAUGAAGUGUGUGUGUGUGUGCAAACAUGAAGUGUGUGUGAUGCCUUCUCUCACACCCCUGAGCCCUGUGAAGAUAUACGCAGACCUCCUCAGUCCUGUGAACUCAACCAAACUGAUCCAGCUGUACUGUGCCCACCCCGCCGAUGGCAGCCGGAACUGGCCCGGAACUGGCCCGGAAGCUGGCCCACAUCUGCCAUAUAGCCCUCAACUCAACACUGCCUCACGGAGUCUGCGCACAGAGAAGGAGUUUAACGAGUUUAACGAGUUUAAAGAUUAGACUUUUGUACUGUUGGACAACAAUAUGCAGUCAGAACUGUGAUUCAUGACCUGUGAUGACAACAACAUACACACCCGACACUUUGUCCCUUUUUGGAAAUGAAUCGUUGAUGUUUGAAUAUUAGGUGUAUAAAAAAUAUAUUCUUAUCCUGUUUUUAAAACGA
Long non-coding RNA from Clupea harengus (Atlantic herring), 3932 nucleotides. The record is from Ensembl. NCBI's taxonomy places the organism in Eukaryota, Metazoa, Chordata, Actinopteri, Clupeiformes, Clupeidae.